AUCCAUCUGACGAGUCCCAAAUAGAACCAAACACAUGUUCCUGCAU
RNAcentral lists this non-coding RNA (46 nucleotides) under Schistosoma curassoni. Lineage: Eukaryota; Metazoa; Platyhelminthes; Trematoda; Strigeidida; Schistosomatidae. The record is from RNAcentral.